AUUUUAUCACCCACCACAAUUUGAGCUUGAACUCUCAUUCUGCCUGAGUUCUGGAAUUCCUUUCAGAUGCUAUCUCUAAGAGUAAAAAGAACUUAGUCGUACAGGAUUCUUUUUUGUUUCGAUUUCUCCGUGUCUGCUUUGGUCCAAAGCAGAGAAUCUCAGCUGCACGAAAUCUCUAAGAUUAGUCAUGUAUACAAACAUGAAGACAGAGAGCCACCGAUGUUUGUCUUGGAAUGAGGCACUAUGGGUAUAAACAGGGGUCUACCCAAUCUGUCUCGGCGUCUUGGUGAGCCAAGAAAAGCAAAAGCCUUGGGUUCCCAAGGGCAGAAUUUCUCUUCCAUGUAGUUCAGCUUCAGGCGCAUCGGGACCUUGCACCCCUGCUCAGGCCACCAUGUCACUGCCCCAGCAGUGAGUAUCCAAGUAAUUAUGGCAGCUAAUGAGAUUUGCUCCUGGAAAACUCACCAGAGCCGUAAUUCAUCGGCUGCUUUUGAGUCACUACAGCUGAAGCAGGGAGGAGCUAUAAGAAAUCAUUUUGUCACCUGCUUUAGACAGCUGAAAACCCACCCAACAAGGACCGCACUGAUCUCAGGCAAAUGAGUGGGAGACAAAAGUACCCAGAACCCUACAUCAAACACUGGAUCUCUCUACACAGCCCUGGCUGUCCUGGAACUCACUAAGUAGACCAUGUUGGUCUCGAACUCACAGAGAUCUACAAGUCUCUGCCUCCAGAGUGCUGGAAUUGAAGGUAUUUUCUGAUCCUGGCUGAGAUGUUAUAAUGGAACACCUUUAAGACCAGGUAGAG
This 802-nucleotide long non-coding RNA is filed under the name Cricetulus griseus (Chinese hamster). RNAcentral describes it as "lncRNA (ENSCGRG00015039356.1)". Lineage: Eukaryota; Metazoa; Chordata; Mammalia; Rodentia; Cricetidae. The record is from RNAcentral.